CCUACGGGUGGCUGCAGUAGGGAAUCUUCCGCAAUGGACGAAAGUCUGACGGAGCAACGCCGCGUGAGCGAAGAAGGUCUUCGGAUCGUAAAGCUCUGUUGUUAGGGAAGAACAAGUAUCGGAGGAAAUGCCGGUACCUUGACGGUACCUGACGAGAAAGCCACGGCUAACUACGUGCCAGCAGCCGCGGUAAUACGUAGGUGGCAAGCGUUGUCCGGAUUUAUUGGGCGUAAAGCGCGCGCAGGCGGUCCUUUAAGUCUGAUGUGAAAUCUUGCGGCUCAACCGCAAGCGGUCGUUGGAAGCUGGGAGACUGGGUUGGAGAAGAGGAAAGCGGAAUUCCACGAGUAGCGGUGAAAUGCGUAGAGAUGUGGAGGACGACCAGUGGCGAAGGCGGCUGUCUCGUCUGUAACUGACGCGGAGGCGCGAAAGCGUGGGGAUCAAACCGGAUUAGAUACCCGAUAGUC
This 464-nucleotide ribosomal RNA is filed under the name uncultured bacterium. Its description in RNAcentral is "bacterial SSU rRNA". It matches the Rfam family "Bacterial small subunit ribosomal RNA", at positions 338 to 795 of the family's 1533-position model. The record is from RNAcentral.